RNAcentral lists this unclassified non-coding RNA (329 nucleotides) under soil metagenome. RNAcentral's name for it is "partial contains 5.8S ribosomal RNA, internal transcribed spacer 2, and large subunit ribosomal RNA". The stretch from base 3 to 120 matches the Rfam family "5.8S ribosomal RNA", at positions 37 to 154 of the family's 154-position model. The record is from RNAcentral.
GGUGAAGAACGUAGCGAAAUGCGAUAAGUAAUGUGAAUUGCAGAAUUCAGUGAAUCAUCGAAUCUUUGAACGCACAUUGCGCCCUCUGGUAUUCCGGAGGGCAUGCCUGUUCGAGCGUCAUUAUAACCACUCAAGCUCUCGCUUGGUAUUGGGGUUCGCGGUUCCGCGGCCCCUAAAAUCAGUGGCGGUGCCUGUCGGCUCUACGCGUAGUAAUACUCCUCGCGAUUGAGUCCGGUAGGUCUACUUGCCAGCAACCCCCAAUUUUUACAGGUUGACCUCGGAUCAGGUAGGGAUACCCGCUGAACUUAAGCAUAUCAAUAAGCGGAGGA